CCUACGGGAGGCAGCAGUAGGGAAUCUUCCACAAUGGGCGAAAGCCUGAUGGAGCAACGCCGCGUGGGUGAAGAAGGUCUUCGGAUCGUAAAACCCUGUUGUUAGAGAAGUAAGCGCGUGAGAGUAACUGUUCACGUUUCGACGGUACCUAACCAGAAAGCCACGGCUAACUACGUGCCAGCAGCUGCGGUAAUACGUAGGUGGCAAGCGUUAUCCGGAUUUAUUGGGCGUAAAGGGAACGCAGGCGGUCUUUUAAGUCUGAUGUGAAAGCCUUCGGCUUAACCGGGGUAGUGCAUUGAAAACUGGGAGACUUGAGAACAGAAGCGGAAGGUGGAACGCAAUGUGUAGCGGUGAAAUGCGUAGAUAUAUGAAAGAACACCAGUGGCGAAAGCAGCUCACUGGUCUGUAACUGACGCUGAGGUUCGAAAGCGUGGGUAGCAAACAGGAUUAGAUACCCCUGUAGUC
This 465-nucleotide ribosomal RNA is filed under the name uncultured bacterium. RNAcentral's name for it is "partial 16S ribosomal RNA". It matches the Rfam family "Bacterial small subunit ribosomal RNA", at positions 338 to 795 of the family's 1533-position model. The record is from RNAcentral.